Bombyx mori (domestic silkworm) is the source of this 73-nucleotide non-coding RNA. NCBI's taxonomy places the organism in Eukaryota, Metazoa, Arthropoda, Insecta, Lepidoptera, Bombycidae. The record is from RefSeq and is marked provisional.
AAGUAAAGAGAGAUUUUCGAGAACAGCUAAUUCGGCUGCGUGGCUGUUGCGCAGAAGAUGCUCAGCGUUGCCU